UGGGGAAUUUUGGACAAUGGGUGCAAGCCUGAUCCAGCAAUGCCGCGUGCAGGAUGAAGGCCUUCGGGUUGUAAACUGCUUUUGUACGGAACGAAAAGCCUCUCUCUAAUACAGGGGGGUGAUGACGGUACCGUAAGAAUAAGCACCGGCUAACUACGUGCCAGCAGCCGCGGUAAUACGUAGGGUGCAAGCGUUAAUCGGAAUUACUGGGCGUAAAGCGUGCGCAGGCGGUUUUGUAAGACAGUGGUGAAAUCCCCGGGCUCAACCUGGGAACUGCCAUUGUGACUGCAAGGCUGGAGUGCGGCAGAGGGGGGAUGGAAUUCCGCGUGUAGCAGUGAAAUGCGUAGAUAUGCGGAGGAACACCGAUGGCGAAGGCAAUCCCCUGGGCCUGCACUGACGCUCAUGCACGAAAGCGUGGGGAGCAAACAGGAUUAGAUACCCUGGUAGUCCACGCCCUAAACGAUGUCAACUGGUUGUUGGGGAUUUACUUCUUCAGUAACGAAGCUAACGCGUGAAGUUGACCGCCUGGGGGAGUACGGCCGCAA
Molecule: ribosomal RNA, 545 nt
Filed under: uncultured bacterium
Lineage: Bacteria
Description: partial 16S ribosomal RNA
Rfam family: Bacterial small subunit ribosomal RNA
Source: RNAcentral